Pogoniulus pusillus (Red-fronted tinkerbird) is the source of this 2666-nucleotide long non-coding RNA. RefSeq lists it as uncharacterized. NCBI's taxonomy places the organism in Eukaryota, Metazoa, Chordata, Aves, Piciformes, Lybiidae. The transcript is spliced from 4 exons. The record is from RefSeq and is a predicted model, not a curated record.
GAGGAUCAAGAGCUGAGAGAGGGAGAAAUAGAUUCAUGAAUUUGAUAGAUAACUAAUUGUAUUUAAAUACUGUAUGUGGAAUCAGGAAUAAUAUAGUUAACGUUCUUGCACAGAAAGUCCUUUUCAUCUGAGACUCAAACAAACACCACACCUUAAUGAACUAAGCAAUUACUGCCAUUUUACAUGCAGCUACACUGAGGCACUAAGAAGUGACACCAUUUAAGAUUUUAAUAUGAAAUAUGCUUGACCAAGUGUAGAUGCAGAGUUUUGAGUAACAGUCUGGAAGAAACCUCAGGUGUCAGCAGUAGAUGAGAAGAUGGAUCAUCGAGCUCCUGUGCCCUGAAUUGGUUCUUCCCGUGCCUGGGCAGGUGUAAGGAUUUUGGGGUUUACACAGUCUCUGCAUUGGAACUGAACUUAUUUAAUGAGCCUCACUGCAAAUGAAAUAAUGUUGCCAGAAGCAUAAACAUGUUGACAGAUGAGAAGAUUUGGAGAGGAGAUUUUAUGUAUUGUUUACCUGCGGAAUGGGUUCCCCUAGAAGAAAUGAAACCAACUAGCAUAAAUAAAAUCAGACUACUUGUCAGUAAGAGCUUUCACUAAAAGGUCAGCUCAACAAACUCUGCAAAAUGAAAUGUAUUUUAAACUAACUUAACAAAGGGAAGCUCCUGAAACUGGGAAUGGUGAAGAUGAUUGGUUUUUUUGUGAGAUUACUUAAUGCAGUGAUUAAUGUCUGUAUUAGUCUUGCCAAGAUUGUUGCAGGAGGUGCUUUGGAAAAACUAACUUUCCCAGUGAUUAUAGCCCGUUACUGCAAAGAGUCUUCCAUCAGAAGAUCGGUUGUGUUGGUGCUACUACUGCAUUCUAGGACCAUUGAAACCUGGAAUCUUUACAUUCAUUUUGUUCCCCAAGAGAUGUCAGGAGUACAGAACAUAGGGAUUAGAAGCAAGAGUCAUUACCUGCUAAGUGGGGAGUGGUUUCAGGAAAUACUAAAACCAGACUAGGUGCUCCUCACACUGUUUCAAAAUUUGGAUGUUAAAAUGAUACAAGUAAUUGAUUUGUUUCCAAAGGCUGGUUCAGAUUAGCUCAGAAAACUUUGAUGGUUAGUCUUCUAUUAAUUAUAUGUACUCUGGCUCAGGUGUCAUCUUUCUGUGUUGCUGGAGAACCAUGCUACAGAAUGAUGGAAUCAACCAGCUUGCAGGAUACCUCCAAGAUCAUCCAGUCCAACCUAUCCAAUCAACUAGACCAUGGCACUAAGUGCCUCAUCUACUCUUUUUUUGAACACCUCCAGGGAAGGCGACUCCACCACCUCCCUGGGCAGCCCAUUCCAAUGCCAAUCACUCUCUCUGGCAAGAACUUCCUCCUAACAUCCAGCCUAGACCUCCUCCAGCACAACUUGAGACUGUGUCCCCUUCUUCUGUUGCUGGUUGCCUGGGAGAAGAGACCAACCCCCACCUGGCUACAGCCUCCCUUCAGGUAGUUGUUGAGAGCAAUGAGGUCACCCCUGAGCCUCCUCUUCUCCAGGCUAAACACCCCCAGUUCCCUCAGCCUCUCCUCACAGGGCUGUGUUCCAGGCCCCUCAACAGCCUUAGUGCCCUACUCUGGUCACGUUCCAGUACCUCAACAUCUCUCUUGAAUUGAGGAGCCCAGAACUGGACACAGGACUCAAAGUGUGGCCUGACCAGUGCUGAGUACAGGGGAAGAAUAAACUCCCUUGUCCUUGUGAAAAUAAAGCCCAAUGCCAUUCAUCUUGACUGAGUGGUUAACUAUCAGCAGAAGAAACCUGGUUUAAUCUCCAUCAAAACAGAGGAGACAUAUUCUUUCAGUGUUAUCUGCAGCUACAUGCAAUGAAUACUGCACUGCCUUGGCACUUUGCUAGCAAUACCAGUAUUAAACAUUUUUUUAACGUGUUUAAGCUGAGGCUAAAAGUAAUUCCAGUCUUGUUAUAACAUGGAAAAAUCUGUCCUUGUUAGUUGGUGAAACCAUGUCAUAACCUGUUUCAUAUAAAACUGCCUUUAAACUGUGCUUAAGCAACAGCUGGUGGUUUCUCCUGUGAACAGCAGAAGAUGUUUAAUUAGCUUUGCAGUCAUCUACAUUACAAUCAAAUCAGAGAAUGCAGUUGCAACACAUUCCCGAUUUGUAUUGUAAACGUGACCCUAACUGUGUUCCUAAAAUCUCUGUCAUGUGCUACAGCUGGCCACACUGACCCGAUUGUAACAGAAGCAGAAACUUCACAUGCUGCUAGCCGAAAUUUCUGCUCCUAAAGUCAUAGUCAUUCUUUAUAAUGUUUGAAGCUUACCAAAAAAGUUUACUCCUCAAGCAUUCCAUGCUCGUUAAUUAUUCCAUUUAAUAGUGUUUCUCAAAGUCAUCUCUUAGAAGAGGAAUUUGGAUUACACAAUCUUGGAAAACAAACCUGUUGCCACCAAGCAUGAGCUAACAUGUUAUAGUACUCUACAGCUUAUCACAAGUAAGCCAGCACCCAGUUUUGUAGACCAGAAAAAGCCUUGAUUGAUUAUCUGUGCAAAUAAACUACGCUGUGUUGAAUAUUGUAGCUUGCUUAGGUUAGAGUUGUGUUCAGCCUGUGGACUGAAUACCUGUGCCUCUUUUCAGCUCUUCAGGAAGAGCUGUAAAACUUUUAAAACUGUCUGGCAUUUGUGAAUAAAGUGAAAAACUUU